This 301-nucleotide ribosomal RNA is filed under the name uncultured bacterium. RNAcentral's name for it is "partial 16S ribosomal RNA". It matches the Rfam family "Bacterial small subunit ribosomal RNA", at positions 509 to 807 of the family's 1533-position model. The record is from RNAcentral.
CAGUCGCCGCGGUAAUACGAAGGGGGCUAGCGUUGCUCGGAAUCACUGGGCGUAAAGGGUGCGUAGGCGGGUUUUUAAGUCAGAGGUGAAAUCCUGGAGCUCAACUCCAGAACUGCCUUUGAUACUGAAAGUCUUGAGUAUGGGGGAGGUGAGUGGAACUGCGAGUGUAGAGGUGAAAUUCGUAGAUAUUCGCAAGAACACCAGUGGCGAAGGCGGCUCACUGGCCCAUAACUGACGCUGAGGCACGAAAGCGUGGGGAGCAAACAGGAUUAGAUACCCGCGUAGUCCCUGUCUCUUAUAC